Molecule: ribosomal RNA, 239 nt
Filed under: uncultured bacterium
Lineage: Bacteria
Description: partial 16S ribosomal RNA
Rfam family: Bacterial small subunit ribosomal RNA
Source: RNAcentral
AGAGUUUGAUCCUGGCUCAGGACGAACGCUGGCGGCGUGCUUCAUACAUGCAAGUCGAACGCGAAUCGGUAGCUUGCUACCGAGGAAAGUGGCGGACGGGUGAGUAAUAUGUAGAGAAUCUGCCCUAGAGAGGGGGACAACAGCUGGAAACGGUUGCUAAUACCCCAUAUGAGCGUACCUGAAAUGGUAUUCUUGAAAACUCCGGUGCUCUAGGAUGAGUCUGCAUCUGAUUAGCUAGG